GGCCGGGUCCGGGCGACGGUGAUGGCGGGGGACGUGGGCGGGCGCCGCUGCCCGGACUCGGAGCUGCUGCUGCACCCGGAGUUGCUGUCCCGGGAGUUCCUGCUGCUCACGCUCGAGCAGAAGAACAUAGCUGUUGAAAAUGAUGUAAGAAUAAACAAAGACAAUCUUACUGAUCUGUAUGUCCAGCAUGCAAUACCAUUGCCUCAGAGAGAUUUGCCAAAGAAUAGAUGGGGGAAAAUAAUGGAAAAGAAAAGAGAGCAACAUGAACUGAAAAACGAGACCAAAAGGAGCAGCAGUGUAGAUGUGUCAAAGAAAAGACCUCUCAUUGUGUUUGAUGGAAGUUCAACAAGUACAAGCAUAAAAGUGAGAAAGACAGAGAAUGGGGAUAAUGAUCGACUCAAGCCUCCCCCUCAGGCAAGCUUUACCAGUAAUGCCUUUCGAAAAUUAUCAAAUUCCUCUUCAAGUGUGUCACCCCUAAUUUUGUCUUCCAAUUUGCCUAUGAACAAUAAAAUGGAACACAAUAAUACUGACACUAAACAGAACCAUGACUUAGCGCAUGGGAAAAGUCCUUUGGGGCCUGCGAAGCUGCCGCCUUUGUCCCCCGUGGGAACGACUCCAGUGAAGCUAAAGCGAGCUGCUCCGAAAGAAGAAGCCGAGGCCGCGGAUAACCUGAAACCCCCAGAAGCAAAGAGGAAGAUACAACACGUUACAUGGCCAUGAAGGAAAGUUUCCAAAAAUGGAGCAGUGGGACGCAGCACUCUGAUGAUGGAAGAGGAGGCGUGCCGGAGGGAGUGACUUCUGAAGGCUGCCGCUAGCUGGUGACAGCAGCGGCCAAACCUGGACCCCUGCCCUUUCCUUAAACCAGAGAUAGGCCCCUUCCUAGGCCCCUCCACGGCCACCCCACCCCUGGAGUAAAGGGCAAUGGCCCUGCUGUCACAUGACGGCCCGCUAGCGAGCGGAGAGAAGAGGGACAUAACAGACAACAGACGUCACCGCAGCAGGUGUGCGGCCGGCAGUUUCCCCCAGGAAGGACGGGGCUGGCGUCAGGAGCCUGCCCGGGUGCUGGCCUUGCGUGGCCUUGAGUGAGCAUCGCUCCUUCUGGGCUCCCAUUUUCACUCUGAUCCGGGGUCUCUCCUGGAUCUUAGUUCUCUGUAUUUCCACCUCAUACUCACCCUGAGCCCUCAGGCUGCCCUCUAAGGCCAGGCAGCCUUCAUGUCAGAAUGAGCAUUUAAAUGUACAGGGAGCGUUAUAAGGCUUUUUGCUCAUUUCUAGCUCUAUGUACCUUGUGCCUCAGCCUGGGGUCUCUGCAGAAGAGGGGGCUCCUGCGCCUGGGCCUCCUUGCUGUCAGCAUUCGUGGCGUGCCUCCUAUUUCAUGAUCUUUAUUGAUCUGUCUUCGUGUUCCCCGAUUUGCUCUCCUCCCAGCUCAAGCUUCUCUAGUGGUUUCUCAUGUUGGUUAUUGCACUUUCAGACUCCAGAAUUUGCAUUUGGCUCUUUUUAAAAAGGUUCACCGCUUAUUGGUGUUCUCACUCUGAUGAGUAAUGGUUAUCAUAAAUGUUCCUUUCAUUCUCUAAGCAUGGUUUCCUUUAGGCUUUCGAACAUGUUCAUAGUAAUGCUCAGCCAGGUCAGAGCUUCUGCUUAGCCCUCUGAGCAGACAAGGCUUCGAAGAGCUUUGCUGCCGUGUGUGGCUUGGCGAAUGCUCUCACGUCUGCUGCACGUCCUCCGACUGCUCCUCAGUGGGGGCAGCCCCGUCCAUGCCGUCUCCUGGACCCCCGGCGGCAAGUGGGAUCUCCUGAGGGCGCGUCUUCCCCGAGUUUUCUGGUAAACUGGCUAGUCUGCCAUUUUGCUUUUUGCUACUAGUCUCAUAAAGCUACUAGCUCCCUGGUAGUUGCUUGCCACUAAGAUCUGUGUUUUUGACAAGUUGGGUAAUUUAAGGUUGGAGAUGUUUUGUGCAGCUGUGUUUUUAACCAGGAACAAGUAAGAUGUUCCAUACUGAAAUUUGGAAAGCUUUUACUUUUGUUUUUUUGGAAUACUGCUAUUUUUAUUUUCAAAAGCACAUUUGCAAGAAUGCUUUUACUUUUAUAUUAUUGUGGACGAAAGGGGCCACAUGCUGACCUGACAAGCUCAGGGGAGGCCUGCAUGGCGGUCUUGCAGACUCAGAGACCUAAAGGAACCACAAAGGAUGGUCUGAAAUUAAACUUUAACUAAAAGCAGUUAUGGUGGGCAGUUACAUCCUAGGCCGGUAUCUUCACUCACAAGGUCAACCUUUACCUUAACUGAGCCUAUCUCUGUUUUUUUGCGUCUAUAACAACAUGCCCUUGAAAUGUCUGGGUAACUUGUAAUUUCUCUUUUUCUGGAUCUUGGGGCACAACCAAAUGUGGCUGGGU
RNA transcript from Eptesicus fuscus (big brown bat), 2384 nucleotides. It is a transcript of the gene named chromosome 16 C2orf49 homolog, with no coding region annotated. The record is from RefSeq and is a predicted model, not a curated record. NCBI's taxonomy places the organism in Eukaryota, Metazoa, Chordata, Mammalia, Chiroptera, Vespertilionidae. The transcript is spliced from 6 exons.